UACGUAGGGUGCGAGCGUUAAUCGGAAUUACUGGGCGUAAAGCGUGCGCAGGCGGCUUUGCAAGACAGAUGUGAAAUCCCCGGGCUCAACCUGGGAACUGCAUUUGUGACUGCAAGGCUAGAGUACGGCAGAGGGGGAUGGAAUUCCGCGUGUAGCAGUGAAAUGCGUAGAUAUGCGGAGGAACACCAAUGGCGAAGGCAAUCCCCUGGGCCUGUACUGACGCUCAUGCACGGAAGCGUGGGGAGCAAACAGG
This 253-nucleotide ribosomal RNA is filed under the name uncultured bacterium. RNAcentral describes it as "partial 16S ribosomal RNA". It matches the Rfam family "Bacterial small subunit ribosomal RNA", at positions 524 to 776 of the family's 1533-position model. The record is from RNAcentral.